This is a long non-coding RNA of Tripterygium wilfordii, 1798 nucleotides long. RefSeq lists it as uncharacterized. NCBI's taxonomy places the organism in Eukaryota, Viridiplantae, Streptophyta, Magnoliopsida, Celastrales, Celastraceae. The record is from RefSeq and is a predicted model, not a curated record. The transcript has 3 exons.
CUCGCCUUACGUUUGUCGCAUUUGAAAACACUGGUUGUAAGUACGUGAAUCCUUUCUAUCCCUCCUUUGUGCUAGUGUUUCCCGUGAUUUUCUCAUGGGGAAGUACGCCGACUUCUGUUGAGACAUUAUGGAGCUCCGCUGUUGGGUCAAUAGCUAUGGCUUUCCUCUUGAUUACAAGCUUAGCCUUGCUUAAAAGGGUGACCCCUUAUAGUUGGGUUUAGUUUCCCUAAUGGCAGUUGUUGAUGAUGGCCUUAGAUUCCCUUAAUCCGAGUUUUUCAAGGAGAUGUUGAUGAUGUUCACCCUUGCCCCUUAUCAGGUGAGCUCGAAUUUUUGUAAGAUAGUAAACGACAUAGACGUCUUCAAUAGUGUCCAUCUUUUCGGCCUCAGACCUGUUGGCCUAGAAAGGAUUUACUCCCCAAACAUUGUGGUCACCAAGACAAGUAGCACUAUUCCCUAGGAAAGCAGGUAAGGCGCUCAUCCAUUGACUUCCUUUCUGUGCUAAGGAUAGCGAGGAAAAGCUUUCUUGAUCAACGGCCACGGUUAGGAGUUUGGCCCCAGUCUUGAAGGGAGUCCGAACUUCGAACACUAUCUUCCGCACGCUAGGUUCUCCUCCCGCUCUGAACGUUGAUAUGACUAGAACACAUGCUCCCAUAUUCCUAAGGCCUUUUGCUGAGGCACGUUGAGUUACUCCAUCUACGUCAGUGCUGCCUCCGGCUGCGCCACCUCCUCCCCCGCUAAUCUCGGGAAGAGGGUUCGAGAAAUCAAUCCUACUAUUGGGGGCCAAAGAAGAAAGAAAUCUCUUGACUCCCGACAUUCUGUUAAGAGCUCAACCUCUCCUUCAUCUCGUUUUGGGGAUGGGGAUAGAUUGGUUUUCACCCCUAGUAUCAAUAGUUGGCAUUGCACAAGGGACUGCUAUGUACGGGAUGAAGGGGUUAGCCUUGCUGUUUUGUCAGCUGCAUCUAUCCUAGCCGAUCAGCAUUGGUGGGAGAAUGCUCCCGACGAGGAGCUUAGAGAAUGUGCUUCUCGUUAUAUUAUGCAGGGAACUUCACCUAUCCAAAGAAUUAAAGAACCUUCAAGACCACCUAUUCCAGUGUGCACGAUGACAAUUACGUAAGGUGGUAUCUUGUGGGUGCAAUCACACUUUAUAGUUCCUACAUUGAAAUUACGUGUUCAAAGGACGAUUAGGGGAAUGCCAGAAGAUAUGCACAAUGCCUUGUCAAGCUGCCUGAAUGUGAUAUGGUUUAUGGAUUUGAAACAUGGAAGUGUUUAUGUCACUUGGCUUGAUGUUUUAUGCUUGUUGAUUUGCUCCAUAGGCAUGUAUAGUUGGCAUGUAAUUUUGUGUUUGCCUUGUUAAGUAUUGAUAAAUUUACUUGUAUGACCUUUAAAGACAUGGCAAGCUAACGUAAUGUUAUGAUAUGAUAUAGACAAGAGCACGAGUGCAUAGAUGUUUGUCUGCACUUUUGAAACUGGCAAGAGAGCAAUGGAGUCAAGGGUGAAAAGUUGGUGGAGGGAGAAAUGAGUUGAAAUGCGUUCUCGCGUGUAUGAGAGAAGGGUAGGGUCGAGGGGCAGAGGGACUUUUAUGACCUUCAUCGAUACUCGCUGCCACAUCUUUUACUAUAUACUUGUUGAAGAGCUUCAUUGUGGAAACUGAUAAACAAUGCUGGCAACAGGAUAUUGCUUGAAGAUGGUGACUUUUUGUUUAGAUGAUUUGAAGAUGCAGGUACUUCUCUUUAUAAAGGAAAGGGUGUAAUUUUGGUAGUUACGAUUUGUAUUCCACCUUAUGGGUGGCUAGAGUGCU